UACGGGGGGGGCAAGCGUUGUUCGGAACUACUGGGCGUAAAGGGCUCGUAGGUGGCCAACUAAGUCAGACGUGAAAUCCCCAGGCUCAACUUGGGAACUGCGUCUGAUACUGGAUGGCUUGAAUCCGGGAGAGGGAUGCAGAAUUCCAGGUGUAGCGGUGAAAUGCUUAGAUAUCUGGAGGAAUACCGGUGGCGAAGGCGGCAUCCUGGACCGGGAUUGACACUGAGGAGCGAAAGCUAGGGGAGCAAACGGG
RNAcentral lists this ribosomal RNA (253 nucleotides) under uncultured bacterium. Its description in RNAcentral is "partial 16S ribosomal RNA". It matches the Rfam family "Bacterial small subunit ribosomal RNA", at positions 524 to 776 of the family's 1533-position model. The record is from RNAcentral.